AGAUUGAACGCUAGCGGGAUGCUUUACACAUGCAAGUCGAACGGCAGCGCGGACUUCGGUCUGGCGGCGAGUGGCGAACGGGUGAGUAAUAUAUCGGAACGUGCCCAGUAGCGGGGGAUAACUACGCGAAAGCGUGGCUAAUACCGCAUACGCCCUACGGGGGAAAGGGGGGAUUCUUCGGAACCUCUCACUAUUGGAGCGGCCGAUAUCAGAUUAGCUAGUUGGUGAGGUAAAGGCUCACCAAGGCGACGAUCUGUAGCUGGUUUGAGAGGACGACCAGCCACACUGGGACUGAGACACGGCCCAGACUCCGUACGGGAGCAGCAGUGGGGAAUUUGGACAA
RNAcentral lists this ribosomal RNA (343 nucleotides) under uncultured soil bacterium. Its description in RNAcentral is "bacterial SSU rRNA". It matches the Rfam family "Bacterial small subunit ribosomal RNA", at positions 26 to 371 of the family's 1533-position model. The record is from RNAcentral.